GAAGUCAGGGGCCAGUACUACUGAGUGU
This 28-nucleotide non-coding RNA is filed under the name Rattus norvegicus (Norway rat). Lineage: Eukaryota; Metazoa; Chordata; Mammalia; Rodentia; Muridae. The record is from RNAcentral.